Molecule: ribosomal RNA, 253 nt
Filed under: uncultured bacterium
Lineage: Bacteria
Description: partial 16S ribosomal RNA
Rfam family: Bacterial small subunit ribosomal RNA
Source: RNAcentral
UACGUAGGGGGGCAAGCGUUGUCCGGAUUUAUUGGGCGUAAAGAGCGUGUAGGCGGCCAGGUAGGUCUGGUGUGAAAACUCGAGGCUUAACCUCGAGAUGUCAUCGGAAACCAUUUGGCUAGAGUCCGGAGAGGAGAGUGGAAUUCCUGGUGUAGCGGUGAAAUGCGCAGAUAUCAGGAAGAACACCAAUGGCGAAAGCAGCUCUCUGGGACGGUACUGACGCUGAGACGCGAAAGCGUGGGGAGCGAACAGG